AGGAGAAGGAAGGGGGAAAAGGGGAUCAAAGCAGAGCAUUCUCCCUAAGAAGGAGAAAUGUAAGAUCUAUUAGAAAUUAUAAAUUCUGAUGUAAAAACAAAAAUCAAGAUGGAAGUCAGGUAAUUACACAGCUACAAAAUAAGAAGAGCUGCAUGAAUACAAAAGUUAAUAAGUAGGUAACACAGAAUGCAAAUCUGUGCUCUCUUCUGGACAGCAGGACCUUUUAUCAAUUAUUCUUCCACCAUCAGUCAGCACAGGAAGUGCAUCUAUGCAGUGCUCAGUGACUGCUUGGUUAGGGUGAACAGAAUGAUGGAAAACACAGAUUUCAAUGUGUGGGAAAGGCAGCUGGUUGCAACUGAACUUGAGUGAAUUUAAGCAGUGCUGAGUGGGCCAAAACUGACACAGCUGGAGCACAUCUGAUGAGGAGCAGCUGAGGGAGCUGGAAAGGGGCUCAGUCUGGAGAAAAGAAGGCUCAGGGAGAACCUUCUGGCUCUGCACAACUCCCUGACAGGAGAGGGAGGUUUCCUGCUCCCAGGGAACAAGGGACAGGACAAGAGGAUACAACCUCAAGUUGUCCCAUGAGAGGUUUGGAUCCUUCAUGGAAGGUGCUGUCACUGGCACAGCUGCCCAAGGCAGUGUUGGAGUCCCCAUCCCUGGAGGGAUUUAAAAGCCAUGAGGAUGUGGCACUUGGUGACAGGGGUUAGUGGUGGCAUUGGCAGUGCUGGGGGAAUGGUUGAGCUUGAGGGUCUCAGAGGUCUCUUGCAACCUGGAUUAUUUGAUGACUAAAAGCUUUAUAAGCUGACACAAUGGAGAAAAUGCUGUUUAUCUUGUUCUUCCAAUUAGUGAUGAUUCAGGAACUGAAGCGAGAGGAAAGGAAGUAAUAAAAUCCUAUUCUGCCAUCACUUAGAGCAGGCUGGAUUAAAACUUUUCAAGAAUAGAAGCAGACACACAGGAGAAGGACUGGUUAGUAGCAACACGAGGAAAAUUAUAAGGAUUCAGAGGAUGAAGACACAAUGCACAGAAAGGGACAAGCCAGAAAGGAAAACCUUCACAGAGUAUCCCCUCAAUGUCUCAAAGAAAACUCCACACUUAUGAGGGCUGGCAGAGCACAAAAAAAUCAUAACAUCCUCCAUGACAUUAUCUAAAAGCCCCAUCAGUUUGAAGAUCAGAAGACAUUGACAAAGCACUGAGGAUUCACAUUUAAGAAUAUUUGUUACCAUCUCAUACUUUAGAGGUAUUUUUAGUACAAAGAUGCAUUAAGAUGUAACAGCUCCUGUCCAGGCAGGCUCUUUCACAAACACUUCUUCAAGUUAUUGUUUAAAUGAGGAGGCAAAAAGUUAAAGAAUCCACCUGGCUGAAAUCAGCCUGAGUAAGAUAACUUGUAUCCAGAAAUUCUUGUUUGUGCUCCCACACCCUCCCCUGGAAGACUGGAACAAGACAAGGCCUUUACAUUUGUCUUCCUCCAGAGUGGAUGAGUAUUUUAUUAUUCUUAAUUUACUGAGAUUCAUUUGUUUACAAAUUUCCAGGUUUACCCUAUUUAUCUAGCUGGAAAUGUA
Parus major (Great Tit) is the source of this 1556-nucleotide long non-coding RNA. RefSeq lists it as uncharacterized. NCBI's taxonomy places the organism in Eukaryota, Metazoa, Chordata, Aves, Passeriformes, Paridae. The transcript has 3 exons. The record is from RefSeq and is a predicted model, not a curated record.